Non-coding RNA from Schizosaccharomyces pombe (fission yeast), 227 nucleotides. The record is from the annotation of a GenBank genome assembly. Lineage: Eukaryota; Fungi; Ascomycota; Schizosaccharomycetes; Schizosaccharomycetales; Schizosaccharomycetaceae.
GAAAACGUUAUUUACAGAAAAAUAAGUAAGUAUAUAAGGCAAAGAAAAUAAGUGAUUUAGGAAGAAUGUACUGUUGGACAGAUAGAUACGUGGUGUUAUCACAAACCAUAUAAAAGACACGAGUGAAUGCUGAGGAUCAAAGCGGCUUUUUCUAAUUAACAUUCUAAAUUGUAGGCGUGAGUAGACAAAUCUAAGGACGUGAAUUAUCAAUUGAUAAUACAAGGAUG